RNAcentral lists this ribosomal RNA (468 nucleotides) under uncultured bacterium. RNAcentral describes it as "partial 16S ribosomal RNA". It matches the Rfam family "Bacterial small subunit ribosomal RNA", at positions 28 to 507 of the family's 1533-position model. The record is from RNAcentral.
GACGAACGCUGGCGGCGUGCUUAACACAUGCAAGUCGAACGGAAAGGCCCUGCUUUUGUGGGGUGCUCGAGUGGCGAACGGGUGAGUAACACGUGAGUAACCUGCCCUUGACUUUGGGAUAACUUCAGGAAACUGGGGCUAAUACCGGAUAGGAGCUCCUGCUGCAUGGUGGGGGUUGGAAAGUUUCGGCGGUUGGGGAUGGACUCGCGGCUUAUCAGCUUGUUGGUGGGGUAGUGGCUUACCAAGGCUUUGACGGGUAGCCGGCCUGAGAGGGUGACCGGCCACAUUGGGACUGAGAUACGGCCCAGACUGGUACGAGAGGCAGCAGUGGGGAAUAUUGCCCAAUGGGCGGAAGCCUGAUGCAGCAACGCCGCGUGCGGGAUGACGGCCUUCGGGUUGUAAACCGCUUUCGCCUGUGACGAAGCGUGAGUGACGGUAAUGGGUAAAGAAGCACCGGCUAACUACGUG